GUCAAGCCCCGGCCUGCCCCCGGCACAUCAGGCCCUGCGAGCCUGGUGAGAGUGCUCCCCGGCUCCGACAGUUCAGCGGCAGAGGCUGCUCUACAAAAUGGGAAUUACCUAUGCUGAGAUGCAGGAGCCUGUGAUGGCCUCUUCUGAGGUAGCUGCCUCAGAAGACACUGCUGAUUCCUCAGGACCUACCCUAGACACCCCUCUUUGCCUUUGGAACUAUGACAAGACUCAAGUCCCUGCAGGCCAUGAAAGAUGCAGCAGAAGACUCGGAGCAAACCCCAAACCCCACUGAACGGCAUGGUGUCUAGCAGCUCCUGAGUACCACUUUGCAAUGAUCAGCUCUUCAGGGCUCCAGCUGACCUCACACAGGUGCAACCUCACACCACCCUGCCUAUAGUGCACUCUGCUCAGAGUUCUCAGUAGACAGUGAUGCCAGGGGUGCACAGUCAUAGCCCUCUUAGUGCCUAUGCAUGCACAGGCCAUGCAUGUGGGGUGUGAACUCCCUCUGGGGUGAGCUCUGUCCAGUAGGAUGCAGGAUGGCUGGCCCCAAAACCAUACUUUCCAGUGGACUCCUCCUCCUUCCCUUGUUUCCCUAGGUUGUUACUCCUGCUCCCUGGGCUUGUUCUCCUUGGUAACAUAGAGCACAUUAGCCUUUGCUUCAGACCCUGCUCUCUGAGCCUCUCAUGCUGAGACAAAUACAUACUUUUAACGUCUGGUUCUCCCACUUUCAAAUUGGGGGUAAUAAUACCUUCCUCAUGAGGUUACUUUGAAGAUUAAAUACAGAUUAUUUAUUUAUUUAUUUUUGAGACAGAGUUUCACUCUGUUGCCCAGGCUGGAGUGCA
Sapajus apella (tufted capuchin) is the source of this 842-nucleotide long non-coding RNA. RefSeq lists it as uncharacterized. The record is from RefSeq and is a predicted model, not a curated record. Lineage: Eukaryota; Metazoa; Chordata; Mammalia; Primates; Cebidae. The transcript is spliced from 3 exons.